UACUCAUGCAAUUUAAUGUUUAAUAAGUUUAUAUUGGCAAAUAAGUAUCAUGUUAAAAUACAUCUUACACACAAACAUAUCAAACAAAACAAUAAAAGCACACAAGAAAUUGUGAGUUUUCUGCUAACAGUAAGAGAUUCAUAACUGGACAGCCACCAUGGAGCAGCCACCACAUUAUCUUUUUGCAGGUCACAUUCCUCACACCAGAAAAAUAAAUGGUGGCUACAUUACAUGCAAAUACCGUCUGUUGUAGAUUUUGAAUAAAUCAGCGCCAUGUCUUUGAUCAAUCAAGCAUAUCAGUUUUCUUGCUCACUUCCAGCCAAUCAGAGCUGCAGACGGUACUCGUUCGUUGCGUGCCAAUCUAGCUCACUCACAUGAAUGCAGGUUUGCUAGGUUACCAGGACACAAUUUCAUUCCAAUUCGCCAAGGAGGAAAGCAGGGGUGAGAGAGACCGACUUGGCGGAGGAAAAAAAAGCACAGCAGGUACAGAGGUGUGAUAUGUGAAUGUCUUCCUCCCUGGUGUGCAGAUGUGCUGCUGCUGCUGGUAUCCCAGAAAGUGGGGCACACGGCUGGAUCGCAGUCUGGAGAGUUGCAUGGCAAAGAAGGCCGUUUUGUUACCCCAGACAUGCAGUCCCGAUCAUCACACCAGUUCUGAUGAUGCCUUAACUUCCUGAUAUUCACCCCUUGGCUGGCAGCGCAGCGACAGGGACUUCCUGUGGCUGAACCGACCUCGCAUGACCAUUUUGCCCAUGAGCUGGCUGCCGGGGUCUUUACAAAGGAGGUCCUUGCAGGUUCCAUCCUGAUUGGGAAGUUGGGAAAGGGGCCUGACAGAAAGACAGCUGGACAUUGCCAAAGUACAAGCCAUAACAGAUGCUGUUCUUCAGGAGUUUCUACAGAUAAAUGCCUCUGCUGUGCGAGUCACAAGUGUAAUAAUAAGCAGUUCAGCCAAGAAAAGGAAAAUAAUAUGUAGUAUGUUUCUGUAUGGUGGGUCGUAGGGCAGUUGUACAAUAAACAGCAAUGUUGUUUUUUCAUUGUACAGUGUUCCACGGUGUUCUUAUGAAUGAGAAAUGUGUAAAGUUUGUCUUACUUGAAUGAUGUGACAACGUCCUCUUUUCAAUAGUGAAUUAUAUUUUUCACAAUAUAUUUCUAGAAAUUCUACAAUAAAACAACUGUUACACAGUUCUUAAGUGUGUUAAAAGUUAAAUUGUGAAAAUUGGAUAGGAUAAUGUUUAUAAACAAUUUUAUAUUUACAGAUCGUACAGUUCGUUGUCAGUAUAUUUGCAAUGUACUAUUGAAAAUGUAAAUAUAUUUGAAAUACAAUAAAGCAA
This is a long non-coding RNA of Micropterus salmoides (largemouth bass), 1328 nucleotides long. RefSeq lists it as uncharacterized. NCBI's taxonomy places the organism in Eukaryota, Metazoa, Chordata, Actinopteri, Centrarchiformes, Centrarchidae. The record is from RefSeq and is a predicted model, not a curated record. The transcript is spliced from 5 exons.